UUAAAACAAGACACUUCAUCUUCAUUAUUUCCUUAUCUUCUUCAUUCUCUCUUCACAUAAGACAAAAAUGCUGACCUUCUCAAUUAAUGUAUUUUGAAGUUAUCUUCUUUCUAGGCUUGCAAAACCUUUACCUAAAUCUUAGACUUCCCAAUUCAAGCAUUGCUUCAGCAACAACAUGUGUUAUUAGGUUUCAUGUUUCAUAGGAGUUAUUAUAUAGAAUUUGAC
This 225-nucleotide long non-coding RNA is filed under the name Vigna radiata. Its description in RNAcentral is "long non-coding RNA (VRAD_LNC000061)". The record is from RNAcentral. Lineage: Eukaryota; Viridiplantae; Streptophyta; Magnoliopsida; Fabales; Fabaceae.